This 433-nucleotide long non-coding RNA is filed under the name Salvia miltiorrhiza (redroot sage). Its description in RNAcentral is "long non-coding RNA (SMIL_LNC009436)". The record is from RNAcentral. Lineage: Eukaryota; Viridiplantae; Streptophyta; Magnoliopsida; Lamiales; Lamiaceae.
CGAAGGGUAAAAUGGGCUUUUCGUGUCGUUCACGUACUCCACAUGCGGCGUACGUGAACAUUUCUCUCUCUACUAACAAACUCUCUAACUAUUUUGCAGCUUUUUGUUGAACACGUGCUCUUUUCCAGCUCUCAUUACUGGUUGUUUUCACUCCUUAAGUCUUCUCCGUAUGUCGCUUUUAGUGUUGCACUGUCCUCUCAAGUCUGCGCAGAUAUUUGGCGGCGCCGCUAUCUCUUACGAUAUGGCUUUGCUUCUUUCAAUCCGAGUGGGCUUGGGGUUUAAGCCAGCUUCUUUCUUGAUCUGCGCCGACAUUGAUCAUCGCCGUUGUGUUAUUUCGGUGAUCGUGUGGUGUAUUCACGCUUCUUGGGCCGAGUGUGUCCCGGGGCUAAGUCGGCGCCGCUAUCCUUAUUCGGGGUAGGAUGGCUGAUGGGAU